UCACUCUGUUGCGCUAAUUAUCAUAACUGUUCUGGCUCUCUUACACUCUCAAGGAACCGGGAGAAAAGUAAGGUUUUUGGAGAAAGAAUCUCUUCUACUAAACCAGGGAAGGGCGAUGAUAGAAGUGAUGGAUUACUCGGAACCAAAGGCGAACACAAACCCAAGAAAUGGAUAUCUGACUAUCCCUCCUUCCCCUGCUCCUCCACAAGGUUCUGGUUAAUUUGAGGCAAAAAUAAAGAUAGUCUUUCAGUGCCUUCCAUUA
This is a long non-coding RNA of Telopea speciosissima, 262 nucleotides long. RefSeq lists it as uncharacterized. Lineage: Eukaryota; Viridiplantae; Streptophyta; Magnoliopsida; Proteales; Proteaceae. The record is from RefSeq and is a predicted model, not a curated record. The transcript is spliced from 3 exons.